UGCCUAGUCAAGUAUAUGUGCUUUGAAACUUGUCUCGCGUUUUUGUUUAAAUGAAUUAUCAUAAACAACAGCAUAUCUAACCUAACAAACUAACACUAAAUAAAAAAUAAUCAUACUUCUAACAUAUGAGCAGAUAAUUAACCGGAACAUCAAAUCACAAACAUCUAUAACCUACAAGCAAAAUCAAUGCUGCACAUAUUUCUUGUAUAAAUCUCUAGGCAAUGAAAUAACCAUGCUUCCAGCAUAUGAAUCUCUAGGCAACGAAAUAACCAUGAUUCCAGGAUAUUGGCAGAGAAUCG
This 299-nucleotide long non-coding RNA is filed under the name Capsicum annuum. Its description in RNAcentral is "long non-coding RNA (CANN_LNC021293)". Lineage: Eukaryota; Viridiplantae; Streptophyta; Magnoliopsida; Solanales; Solanaceae. The record is from RNAcentral.